This 498-nucleotide ribosomal RNA is filed under the name Triticum aestivum (bread wheat). RNAcentral's name for it is "partial small subunit ribosomal RNA". The record is from RNAcentral. Lineage: Eukaryota; Viridiplantae; Streptophyta; Magnoliopsida; Poales; Poaceae.
AUGAAGCAGUGCUUUGCUUUUUGUGCCAUAUUUCCCAAGGAUUACAAGAUUGAUGUGGAGAAGCUGGUUCGACUAUGGAUUGCAAAUGGCUUUAUCCCAGAACACAAGGAAUAUAGUCUUGAAACCACUGGAAAACAUAUUUUCAGUGGGCUGGCCUCAAGGUCAUUCUUUCUGGACAUAGAGGAAAGUAAGCAAUCAAGGGGGUAUUAUUCAACUACAUGCAAAAUCUAUGAUCUUAUGCAUGAUAUUGCGAUGUCUGUUAUGGAAAAGGAAUGUGUUGUUGCAACUAUGGAACCAACUCAAACCGAUUGGCUUCCUGAUUCUGCUCGACAUUUGUUUUUGUCAUAUCAAGGAACAGAAGUUAUUUUGAAUGGUUCUGUGGAGAAAAGAUCCCCUGCUAUCCAAACCUUGCUAUGCGAUAGUUCUGUGCGAAGCUCAUUGCAACAUCUAUCAAAAUACAAAUCUUUGCAUGCAUUGAAGCUAUGUAUUGGGACAUAA